Non-coding RNA from Pelobates cultripes (western spadefoot toad), 616 nucleotides. The record is from the annotation of a GenBank genome assembly. Lineage: Eukaryota; Metazoa; Chordata; Amphibia; Anura; Pelobatidae.
AAAAAAUCUGUCUUCUAGAUUCAAAGCAAAUUUGUCAAGCCAUGACUUAAAGGAUCUGCUGCUAAUGUCUUGGUGCCAAAUACAACAGGACACGUUCAGAGGUCUUGUGGCGUCCAUGCCUCGAUGCAGCACGAGGGGAACAAACAGUGAUCACCAGCACCAUUAAAACCACCUGUGUAAUAUCGUGUAAGGGUUUUAAUAUAUUAGUAAUUUCCUUGGCAUUACGGAUGUUUGUGAACUACAUUUCUCGUGACGCACUGCCACAAUUUGAGUCUUAGACAAAUAAAAUCUAUAUUUGAGUAAUUUUAUGGCUAACAGUGGGUCUGUGUCUGUAUUAUGAUAUGUGGCCUAAUUAGCUUAAAACAAACCCAGAGAUUUAAUUAAACCCUUACGAGGACCUUUUGAGAAGUUCUGGAGAUCUUGACUCUCAGAGAUCGGAGACGUUCAUGAUGUUAAGUAUAAUCCAUUGUGUUUGCACUUUAUUAAUAAUGCCUUUAUAACGUGAGUGCAGUUUUAAUGUUUUACUAAAUUGUUAUACGAACAAUAUCACACUGUGUGUACCUUCUUUGUUUUUAGUCUAUACAGAGGCUGACAAGUGGAGAAGCUUGUGUUUUCU